CCGACGGUGAGGGAUGAAAGCUGGGGGAGCAAACCGGAUUAGAUACCCGGGUAGUCCCAGCCGUAAACGAUGUGCGUUAGGUGUAUCGGUGACCACGGGUCACCGAGGUGCCGAAGAGAAAUCGUGAAACGUACCGCCUGGGAAGUACGGUCGCAAGGCUGAAACUUAAAGGAAUUGGCGGGGGAGCACCACAACAGGUGGAGCCUGCGGUUUAAUCGGACUCAACGCCGGGAAACUCACCAGAUAAGACAGCUGAAUGAUAGUCGGGCUGAAGACUCUACUUGACUAGCUGAGAGGAGGUGCAUGGCCGUCGUCAGUUCGUACUGUGAAGCAUCCUGUUAAGUCAGGCAACGAGCGAGACCCACGCCAACAGUUGCU
RNAcentral lists this ribosomal RNA (378 nucleotides) under uncultured archaeon. RNAcentral's name for it is "bacterial SSU rRNA". It matches the Rfam family "Archaeal small subunit ribosomal RNA", at positions 691 to 1068 of the family's 1478-position model. The record is from RNAcentral.